UCCCCGGUGGCUCAGAUGGUAAAGCGUCUGCCUGCAAAGUAGAAGACCUGGGUUCGAUCCCUGGUUUGGGAA
RNAcentral lists this transfer RNA (72 nucleotides) under Bos taurus (domestic cattle). It matches the Rfam family "tRNA". Rfam says of the family: Transfer RNA (tRNA) molecules are approximately 80 nucleotides in length. Their secondary structure includes four short double-helical elements and three loops (D, anti-codon, and T loops). The record is from Rfam by way of RNAcentral. Lineage: Eukaryota; Metazoa; Chordata; Mammalia; Artiodactyla; Bovidae. RNAcentral also lists the same sequence under 1 other name.